Molecule: ribosomal RNA, 497 nt
Filed under: uncultured bacterium
Lineage: Bacteria
Description: partial 16S ribosomal RNA
Rfam family: Bacterial small subunit ribosomal RNA
Source: RNAcentral
GAUGAACGCUGGCGGUGUGCCUAAUACAUGCAAGUCGAGCGAACAGACGAGGAGCUUACUCCUCUGACGUUAGCGGCGGACGGGUGAGUAACACGUGGAUAACCUACCUAUAAGACUGGGAUAACUUCGGGAAACCGGAGCUAAUAGCGGAUAACAUGUUGAACCGCAUGGUUCAACAGUGAAAGACGGUCUUGCUGUCACUUAUAGAUGGAUCCGCGUCGCAUUAGCUAGUUGGUAAGGGAACGGCUUACCAACGCAACGAUGCGUAGCCGACCUGAGAGGGUGAUCGGCCAGACUGGAACAGAGACACGGUCCAGACUCCUACGGGAGGCAGCGGUAGGGAAUCUUCCGCGAUGGGCGAAAGCCUGACGGAGCAACGCCGCGUGAGUGAAGAAGGUCUUCGGAUCGUAAAACUCUGUUAUUAGGAAAGAACAAAUGUGUAAGUAACUGUGCACGUCUUGACGGUACCUAAUCAGAAAGCCACGGCUAACUACGUG